AAUUCCCUUCAGCUCAACUAUGAAAUAAGUAUGAGGUGAAGAUAAAGACAUUUUUAGAUGUGUGAGUACUCAAAUGUUUGCCUCCACGUAUUCUUUCUAAGGAGAUUACUGAAGGACAUGCUUUAGUAAAAUGAGGAAGCAAAUCAUCAAUCAAUAAGAUAUGAUAUCCAAAAAGUGAGGAAUCCAAUACAAGAGAGAGGUGUGGGGAACUCCUGCCUGAUGACAAAGGCAGUUAGGGGACAGCAGGCUCAGAGUAAGCCAGCAAGCACCAGGCUGAACUGGAGAAGACAGAGGGCACCCACAAAUAAAGAUGGGCAAUUCUGAGAAAAUGUUUAUACUGCUGAAAGAAUGUUGGGAUGUAAAUGGAUAUUAGGUCCCUGGAAAACUAAGAGAGUGAGAGGAAGAGAGGGAGAGGAUUGAUUCUGUCAUCAACACCAAGGAAAAUAAAAAGGCGGCACAGGAAAGGAGAUGUAAACCUACAUUUCCAAAAGGAAAGUUAAAUUUAAAACAACAUGGCUCAGCACUAAAUCCCACUGGAAAAUUCUCAUCAUAUUUCAAGAGAGCCCUUGGACUUUUGUUAGGAUGGACUUAACUCUCAUCUUUGAAAAAAGACAGUGUUCCCAUGGUGAUGAGGAUGACAUCAUCGGGACUGGUUCCUGCCGUGAAUACAGUCCCAUUGGUCACCACGGGAAUAGAUGGGAUAAGAGAUAACAGGAUUUUCUGUACAAACACAGUCUACCACUCCCUUAAAGGACCCCAAGAAGAUAUGGAAUUGAUGCAUCAUCCCAGAAGCACUCUAAAGACUACACAGCAGGGCUUUCCAGCAGCCACAUGAACGUCCUAUAAAGCCUCUCUUCACACCUCGGUCACACAAAGGUGGGAAAGACUCAGUGCUGUCCUGAAGACUGUCCAGUUCCUGAAAUCCAUAUGUUCACUGGAUCUUUAUGUGUACAACAUUCUUCUUUAGCCCUCACUGGCGAGCAUCCUCUCAUGCCAGUGUCUCCACUCUUAACUACUCUCCCCUCCUCCCUCCUGGAAUCUUGGAGGAUUUCUGAGAGUCUACCAUCAUUGCAACACAUUUCUCCUCCGUUAUAGCAUCAACCAUGCCACACUUUCCAUCCCAACUGCUAGCAAUAGACACUUGCAUGUAAUAAAAAAAAUUAAUUGAAUUAAUUAAGAGAAAAACAGACAUAUCAAGGGGUUGCUGUGAGGGACACUAUAUUGUCUCUUUUCAUAUAUAUGUAUAUAUGUAAUGUUGCUGUGCUUUUUUAAUUUAAAUGUUAAUUUUUUAUUUAUUUUUAUUUAUUUAUUAUUAUUAUUUUUUUUUUUGAGACGGAGUCUGGCUCGUCACCCAGGCUAGAGUGAAGUGGUGCGAUCUCUGCUCACUGCAAGCUCUGCCUCCCGGGUUCACGCCAUUCUCCUGCCUCAGCCUCUCGAGUAGCUGGGACUACAGGCGCCCGCCGCCAUGCCCGGCUAAUUUCUUGCAUUUUUAGUAGAGACGGGGUUUCACCUUGUUAGCCAGAGUGGCCUCAAUCUCCUGACCUCGUGAUCCGCCCACCUCAGCCUCCCAAAGUGCUGGGAUUACAGGCGUGAGCCACCGCGCCCAGCCAAAUGUUAACUUUUUUAAUGCUGCUAUUUUGAUAUCCACACUAGAAACUAAAAAAAAAAAAAAAAAAAAAAAUAGAAUUUCAGAGACUUAAGAUUCCCAAAGCCAUAUCAUGAUUAAAUGGAAGAAAGGGAACUCAAAUCCAAGCUGACCCAGACUAG
This is a long non-coding RNA of Pan paniscus (pygmy chimpanzee), 1767 nucleotides long. Lineage: Eukaryota; Metazoa; Chordata; Mammalia; Primates; Hominidae. The record is from Ensembl.